Molecule: ribosomal RNA, 378 nt
Filed under: Triticum aestivum (bread wheat)
Lineage: Eukaryota; Viridiplantae; Streptophyta; Magnoliopsida; Poales; Poaceae
Description: partial small subunit ribosomal RNA
Source: RNAcentral
AUGCAUUAUAACUUCGCGAGUACUCUGAAACAUAAGAGACAUGAGAUAUUAGUUGAAAAUCUGAUUGCAUCUCUUGAUGUUGAAGAGAAAGCUCGGGCUAAAGACACUAUUGAGAAAAGAGGUGAGGUUCAACCUACUGACCUAGGGAACAAGAACAAAGGGAAGAACAAGCCUAUUUUCGACAAGCCUGUCAAGACUACUACCGUCAAGAAGAAGUUCAACAAGGUUGAGUUAGAGUGCUACGCCUAUGGGAAGCCCAGACACUUUUCCAAGGAAUGCCUAGACUGUGCAGACCGCAAAGGGAAAACGAGCUCCAAGACUGACAACAUGGUGACCGCUAGCAAUACUGAUGGCUCUCAAGGGAUUCUUCCGUCCUAA